This 325-nucleotide long non-coding RNA is filed under the name Capsicum annuum. Its description in RNAcentral is "long non-coding RNA (CANN_LNC011130)". The record is from RNAcentral. Lineage: Eukaryota; Viridiplantae; Streptophyta; Magnoliopsida; Solanales; Solanaceae.
AUAAUUUGUUGUUUUUGACACCAAAUUUUGAUUAUCUAGAGUUUUUUGAGUCUAAAGCUCGAAUUUCACUUGAUUUGUAGUGUAGAAUUGAAGAUACCAUGGAAGGAUUUUGAGUUUUUGAAACUUUGUGAAUUUUGAAAAGUGAGCUUAUUUUUGGCUUGGUUUUGAAGGCUAAAAAUUAGUGGGAUUUGUUUGUGGCAUUGAAAGGAGUACAUAGAUGAAGAUUUCAUCGAAUUUGGAGUUGAAAUGAAGAAGUUAUGAAGAUGUGAAGGUUGGGGUUUUCAUUGUUGUUCUUGAGUAUCUUCACCUUGUACAUGAAGAAGAA